Molecule: ribosomal RNA, 427 nt
Filed under: uncultured prokaryote
Description: bacterial SSU rRNA
Rfam family: Bacterial small subunit ribosomal RNA
Source: RNAcentral
UGGGGAAUAUUGCACAAUGGGCGCAAGCCUGAUGCAGCCAUGCCGCGUGUAUGAAGAAGGCCUUCGGGUUGUAAAGUACUUUCAGCGAGGAGGAAGGCAUUAAGGCUAAUAACCUUAGUGAUUGACGUUACUCGCAGAAGAAGCACCGGCUAACUCCGUGCCAGCAGCCGCGGUAAUACGGAGGGUGCAAGCGUUAAUCGGAAUUACUGGGCGUAAAGCGAACGCAGGCGGUCUGUCAAGUCGGAUGUGAAAGCCCCGGGCUCAACCUGGGAACUGCAUUCGAAACUGGCAGGCUAGAGGCUUGUAGAGGGGGGUAGAAUUCCAGGUGUAGCGGUGAAAUGCGUAGAGAUCUGGAGGAAUACCGGUGGCGAAGGCGGCCCCCUGGACAAAGACUGACGCUCAGGUGCGAAAGCGUGGGGAGCAAACA